RNAcentral lists this ribosomal RNA (403 nucleotides) under uncultured bacterium. Its description in RNAcentral is "bacterial SSU rRNA". It matches the Rfam family "Bacterial small subunit ribosomal RNA", at positions 28 to 413 of the family's 1533-position model. The record is from RNAcentral.
GAUGAACGCUGGCGGCGUGCUUAACACAUGCAAGUCGAACGAAGCGAUUUAGCGGAAGUUUUCGGAUGGAAGCUAGAUUGACUGAGUGGCGGACGGGUGAGUAACGCGUGGGUAACCUGCCUCACACUGGGGGACAACAGUUAGAAAUGACUGCUAAUACCGCAUAAGCGCACAGGAUCGCAUGGUCCGGUGUGAAAAACUCCGGUGGUGUGAGAUGGACCCGCGUUUGAUUAGCUAGUUGGUGGGGUAACGGCCUACCAAGGCGACGAUCAAUAGCCGACCUGAGAGGGUGACCGGCACAUUGGGACUGAGACACGGCCCAAACUCCUACGGGAGGCAGCAGUGGGGAAUAUUGGCACAAUGGGGGAAACCCUGAUGCAGCGACGCCGCGUGAGUGAAGAAG